GAACGCUGGCGGCGUGCUUAACACAUGCAAGUCGAACGGAAAGGCCCCUUUGGGGGUACUCGAGUGGCGAACGGGUGAGUAACACGUGAGUAACCUGCCCUUGACUUCGGGAUAACUUCAGGAAACUGGGGCUAAUACCGGAUAGGAAUCCUUGCUGCAUGGUGGGGGUUGGAAAGCUUCGGCGGUUUUGGAUGGACUCACGGCUUAUCAGCUUGUUGGUGGGGUAGUGGCUUACCAAGGCUUUGACGGGUAGCCGGCCUGAGAGGGCGACCGGCCACAUUGGGACUGAGAUACGGCCCAGACUCCUACGGGAGGCAGCAGUGGGGAAUAUUGCACAAUGGGCGGAAGCCUGAUGCAGCAACGCCGCGUGCGGGAGGACGGCCUUCGGGUUGUAAACCGCUUUCAGCAGGGGCGAAGCUUGUGGUGACGGUACCUGCAGAAGAAGCACCGGCUAACUACGUG
This 462-nucleotide ribosomal RNA is filed under the name uncultured bacterium. RNAcentral's name for it is "partial 16S ribosomal RNA". It matches the Rfam family "Bacterial small subunit ribosomal RNA", at positions 31 to 507 of the family's 1533-position model. The record is from RNAcentral.